Molecule: non-coding RNA, 139 nt
Organism: Carica papaya (papaya)
Lineage: Eukaryota; Viridiplantae; Streptophyta; Magnoliopsida; Brassicales; Caricaceae
Source: RefSeq, a predicted model, not a curated record
AGGUUGACAUUUGCGUGUUUCUUUUCGAUGUCAUGUUUGCUAAUGGAGAGCAGCUGCUAGAUGUUCCUCUUCGCAAAAGAAGGAAAUAUUUAAAGGAUUUGUUUCAGGAGGAGGAGUUGGGUUACUUUGGGUAUGCAAA